GUGCAUCCGCGCGGUAAUACCGGCAGCCCGAGUGAUGGCCGAUCUUAUUGGGCCUAAAGCGUCCGUAGCUGGCCGAACAAGUCCGUCGGGAAAUCCACGUGCUUAACACGUGGGCGACCGGCGGAAACUGUUCGGCUUGGGGCCGGAGGACCCGAGGGGUACGUCCGGGGUAGGAGUGAAAUCCUGUAAUCCUGGACGGACCGCCGGUGGCGAAAGCGCCUCGGGAAGACGGACCCGACAGUGAGGGACGAAAGCUGGGAUCUCGAACCGGAUUAGAAACCCCAGUAGUCC
Molecule: ribosomal RNA, 291 nt
Filed under: uncultured bacterium
Lineage: Bacteria
Description: partial 16S ribosomal RNA
Rfam family: Archaeal small subunit ribosomal RNA
Source: RNAcentral